RNAcentral lists this ribosomal RNA (253 nucleotides) under uncultured bacterium. RNAcentral's name for it is "partial 16S ribosomal RNA". It matches the Rfam family "Bacterial small subunit ribosomal RNA", at positions 524 to 776 of the family's 1533-position model. The record is from RNAcentral.
UACGGGGGGGGCAAGCGUUGUUCGGAAUUACUGGGCGUAAAGGGCUCGUAGGCGGCCAACUAAGUCAGACGUGAAAUCCCUCGGCUCAACCGGGGAACUGCGUCUGAUACUGGAUGGCUUGAAUCCGGAAGAGGGAUGCGGAAUUCCAGGUGUAGCGGUGAAAUGCGUAGAUAUCUGGAGGAACACCGAUGGCGAAGGCAGCCCCCUGGGAUGAGACUGACGCUCAUGUACGAAAGCGUGGGGAGCAAGCAGG